RNAcentral lists this ribosomal RNA (318 nucleotides) under Triticum aestivum (bread wheat). RNAcentral describes it as "partial small subunit ribosomal RNA". Lineage: Eukaryota; Viridiplantae; Streptophyta; Magnoliopsida; Poales; Poaceae. The record is from RNAcentral.
AUGGACAAUGUGCCGCAAGUAGCCCAAGAAGCCACUGCCAUGACGGGCAGCGCCGGUAACAUUGUGGAUGUAGAGCUCGACGUUGCCCUCGCAGUCGCGGGUGAGGCCAACGACUUGCUUCAUCCAAGCAUGGACAUGGUGGUCACGUUGGUGAGCCUCGGUAAGGUGGAGGAGCAGGCCAUUCAUGCUCCCCAUCUCAUCCUUGAUGAACUGCACAUCACCGUGGAGGCUGCCGAGCAGCUGCGCCUCGUCGGCAAGGAUGGUGGUGAGGCGGCCAAGGAGAGUGUCGAGGGCGCCCUGGGCAUCCAUCUUGCUUGA